Molecule: small RNA, 27 nt
Filed under: Bombyx mori (domestic silkworm)
Lineage: Eukaryota; Metazoa; Arthropoda; Insecta; Lepidoptera; Bombycidae
Description: ovarian small RNA-20881
Source: RNAcentral
UACCUGAAUAAAGCGCAGGGCACAAUG